AGAGUUUGAUCAUGGCUCAGAAUCAACGCUGGCGGCGCGCUUAACACAUGCAAGUCGAACGAGAAAGUGGAGCAAUCCAUGAGUAAAGUGGCGUACGGGUGAGUAACACGUGGGUAAUCUACCUUUUAGUGGGGAAUAACGAUGGGAAACCGUCGCUAAUACCGCAUAAUCCCGAGAGGGGAAAGCAGCAAUGCGCUGAAAGAGGAGCCCGCGGCCGAUUAGCUAGUUGGUGAGGUAACGGCUCACCAAGGCAAAGAUCGGUAGCCGGCCUGAGAGGGCACACGGCCACACUGGCACUGAAACACGGGCCAGACUCCUACGGGAGGCAGCAGUGGGGAAUCUUGCACAAUGGGGGCAACCCUGAUGCAGCGACGCCGCGUGAGCGAUGAAGCCCUUCGGGGUGUAAAGCUCUUUCGGCAGGGAAGAUUAUGACGGUACCUGCAGAAGCAGCUGCGGCUAACUACGUGCCAGCAGCCGCGGUAAUACGUAGGCAGCGAGCGUUGUUCGGAGUUACUGGGCGUAAAGGGUGUGUAGGCGGUUCUUUAAGUUUGGUGUGAAAUCUCCCGGCUCAACCGGGAGGGUGCGCCGAAUACUGAGGGACUAGAGUGCGGGAGAGGAAAGUGGAAUUCCUGGUGUAGCGGUGAAAUGCGUAGAUAUCAGGAGGAACACCGGUGGUGUAGACGGCUUUCUGGACCGUAACUGACGCUGAGACACGAAAGCGUGGGUAGCAAACAGGAUUAGAUACCCUAGUAGUCC
Molecule: ribosomal RNA, 756 nt
Filed under: uncultured bacterium
Lineage: Bacteria
Description: bacterial SSU rRNA
Rfam family: Bacterial small subunit ribosomal RNA
Source: RNAcentral